Molecule: ribosomal RNA, 917 nt
Filed under: uncultured Bacillota bacterium
Lineage: Bacteria; Bacillati; Bacillota
Description: bacterial SSU rRNA
Rfam family: Bacterial small subunit ribosomal RNA
Source: RNAcentral
GGAUCCAGACUUUGAUCAUGGCUCAGGACGAACGCUGGCGGCGUGCCUAACACAUGCAAGUCGAACGGAACUGUUUUGAAAGAUUUCUUCGGAAUGAAUUUGAUUUAGUUUAGUGGCGGACGGGUGAGUAACGCGUGAGUAACCUGCCUUCAAGAGGGGGAUAACAUUCUGAAAAGAAUGCUAAUACCGCAUGACAUAUCGGAAUCACAUGAUUUUGAUAUCAAAGAUUUUAUCGCUUGAAGAUGGACUCGCGUCCGAUUAGUUAGUUGGUGAGGUAACGGCUCACCAAGACCGCGAUCGGUAGCCGGACUGAGAGGUUGAACGGCCACAUUGGGACUGAGACACGGCCCAGACUCCUACGGGAGGCAGCAGUGGGGGAUAUUGCGCAAUGGGGGCAACCCUGACGCAGCAACGCCGCGUGAAGGAUGAAGGUUUUCGGAUUGUAAACUUCUUUUAUUAAGGACGAAACUUGACGGUACUUAAUGAAUAAGCUCCGGCUAACUACGUGCCAGCAGCCGCGGUAAUACGUAGGGAGCAAGCGUUGUCCGGAUUUACUGGGUGUAAAGGGUGCGUAGGCGGCUUUGCAAGUCAGAUGUGAAAUCUAUGGGCUCAACCCAUAAACUGCAUUUGAAACUGUAGAGCUUGAGUGAAGUAGAGGCAGGCGGAAUUCCCCGUGUAGCGGUGAAAUGCGUAGAGAUGGGGAGGAACACCAGUGGCGAAGGCGGCCUGCUGGGCUUUAACUGACGCUGAGGCACGAAAGCGUGGGUAGCAAACAGGAUUAGAUACCCUGGUAGUCCACGCUGUAAACGAUGAUUACUAGGUGUGGGGGGUCUGACCCCUUCCGUGCCGGAGUUAACACAAUAAGUAAUCCACCUGGGGAGUACGGCCGCAAGGUUGCAACUCAAAGGAAUUGACGG